This 481-nucleotide ribosomal RNA is filed under the name uncultured bacterium. Its description in RNAcentral is "bacterial SSU rRNA". It matches the Rfam family "Bacterial small subunit ribosomal RNA", at positions 30 to 507 of the family's 1533-position model. The record is from RNAcentral.
UGAACGCUAGCGGCAGGCCAAUACAUGCAAGACGAACGGUAAGUUGAGUAGCAAUACUUAGCCAAGAGUGUCGUACGGGUGCGUAACACGUAUGCAACCUACCCUAUACAGGAGGAUAGCCUAGGGAAACCUGGAUUAACCCUUCAUAGUAUUAUUGGAUGGCAUCAUUUGAUAAUUAAAAACUGAGGUGGUAUAGGAUGGGCAUGCGUCUGAUUAGUUAGUUGGCGGGGUAAUGGCCCACCAAGACGAUGAUCAGUAGGGGUUCUGAGAGGAAGAUCCCCCACACUGGCACUGAGAUACGGGCCAGACUCCUACGGGAGGCAGCAGUAGGGAAUAUUGGUCAAUGGAUGCAAGUCCGAACCAGCCAUGCCGCGUGCAGGAAGAAGGCCCUCUGGGUUGUAAACUGCUUUUGCCAGGGGAUAAAAUUUCCAUGCGUGGAAAACUGAAGGUACCUGGUGAAUAAGCCACGGCUAACUACGUG